CCACUUAUCUUAUUCCUUCCCUCUCUCGCUGACGGCCGCCCGGCUCCCUCAUCUCCUUAUUUUCUUCUUCUCUUUUCAGAUCUCUGCUUUUUUUCUCUAUGUUUAUGUGCAUAGAAUAGAUGGAUUAAAUGGCCUGUGAUGUUAUAAAAUUGUCCGUACCAUCUGAUAUUCUGAUGUAUUCAUAUUUCAAACCUUUCUGCGGCCUCUCUUCGGCUUUAUAGGGUUUUCUAUAUACAGUGGCAGUGACGACUAAAUUUAUACCAUCAAACUUUGAAAGCUUCAAAUAAAGCUUGUUGAUGCCAACAAUACUGUAAUAUCUGAGCCUUGUUUAUUUUUUGUUGUGGAUCUAUGAUUUGUAAGGCAAUAAAUUAGAGUCUCUGUAACGCUUAUUUCAGUAGCGUUUUCAGCGCUGUACGUUGCCCAAAAUGAUCACGGGAACUGAAAUUCUGGCGUUUUUCUCUAUUUUUUUCUGAGUUAUACGCAUUCAGAUGUUCCCAUAUCUCAUUUUCUAGUUGCUACUUUUCAAAGUUAUUUUGUUGUUUUUGAUUUAAUAAAAGUAAUUUAGGGUUUAGUUCUACAAUUAUACGUUUUCAAGUUGAAGAAAUAGUGGAUCUAGAAAAACAUUUUAUAAUAGAGAUUAAUUUUACAAUAUGGGUUUGGGUGUUUCUGUAAACAGUCGUAUCCAAAUUAUAAGUUUGGUAUUAUGUGAAUGCAAUAAAUUAGAGUCUCUGUGACGCUUAUCUUAGUAGCGUAUUCAGCGCUGUACGUUGCCAAAAUGGAUUUGGAAACUGAGAUUCUGGCAUUUGUCCCUUAUUUUUUUUUAGGCUUAUGCAUUCAGAUGUUGGUAUAUUUCAUUUAAAUUAAAAGAAAUUAGACUAAUUCUGGUAUUUAAGGAAGGCAAUAGAUUAGAGUCUCUGUAACGCUUACUUUGCUAGUGUUAUUAGCGCUGUACAUUGCCAAUAUAGAUUUUGGGGACUGAGAUUCUGGCGUUUCUCUCGUUUGUGAGAUUUAUGCAUUCAGAUAUUCCCACAUUUUGUUUUUGAAUACGAGUUGCUAGUUUUGUUCACUCAAUUUGAUUUAAUGGAUUGUCUAAUUUUGGGCUUCUUGUUAUUUUUUGUUUUUGUUGCCACCUUCUACUAAUGGUGGCAGGAACCAAAUUAAGAAGAACAAGUAAAGUUGUGAUGAAAACCAUGGUAUGAUAUUACGUGUAAUUUUUCAGCUUCUUUCGAGUAUGUGACAAUUAGAAGCACGCCCUCAACUAUCAUCCUCCAGAUCAAAGUGAUUCCCAACUCGUUAUUCAGGCAAUCCUUUUGUUGCUUUAAUUACGAAAGAGGUGUUAUACUGCUCAUAAAUCAAGUUCUUUUGCUCUUCAGACUUGCUGAGGUUACAGGGAAGCUGGUCUAGUAAGCUUUAGUACAUUGUCUAAUUUAUUCAGUUCUUAAAUUUUUAAUUAAUUAUCUGUUUCGAUCUUUGAACAUCUCUGGAUUGUUUAUUUUUUAGUUUUUAUUUUAAAAAAAGAAAAAUGUCCUAACUUUUGGUCGAAACGCCAGCGUAUUUGAGACAAGGUUUACACUGUCAUUGCAGUCGCUCGUAGAUUACACUGCUGAUGCAGUCAAUCCAGUCAAUCAUUAUUAUGUUGGAUGAAGCAUGGAGAGGUCUGCUUGUGACCAUUUGAGCUACGAAAUUUGACUUGCCAUUCUUAUCAAAUUCUUUGGGUUAAGAUUUCAAACUAGAGUUGCCUGCACUGAUUAUACAGUGCAUGUUACAGACGGAUUAUACAGUGAUGGCAUAAAUGCAAUGAUUAACCUUCCAGAAUGUUAACCUUCCAGAGUGUUCAACAACAUUACCUUGGGUUAAAGAGUACAUAUCAUUUUAAACUAUUGUUUGUAGUUGGGAACAGAGCAGAAUUUGGGAACCGAAAUUUCAUCGUUUAAUAAUUUCACAAAUUUUUUAAUA
Humulus lupulus (European hop) is the source of this 1956-nucleotide long non-coding RNA. RefSeq lists it as uncharacterized. The transcript is spliced from 2 exons. Lineage: Eukaryota; Viridiplantae; Streptophyta; Magnoliopsida; Rosales; Cannabaceae. The record is from RefSeq and is a predicted model, not a curated record.